This 504-nucleotide long non-coding RNA is filed under the name Vigna radiata. RNAcentral's name for it is "long non-coding RNA (VRAD_LNC014601)". Lineage: Eukaryota; Viridiplantae; Streptophyta; Magnoliopsida; Fabales; Fabaceae. The record is from RNAcentral.
CCAGGAGAUCAAGAUCAAGAGCCAAGAUGGUCCAAGGAAGAAAAGGGCUAGAAGAACAUCAUUUUAACAUGUAUGGCACGAUAUAUGGUUUCUUACAGCUGACACACAUGUAUCACGUGCCACUUAGAAUAGAUUUCAUUUUCCACAUGCUAAAUAAGUCUUCUAGAAGGCUGACACAUUUUGCACAUGGCUGCCUACGUGGAUUCAGAUCCACAUUUCACGGAUCUAGGCAUUUUUCUUGCCAAAGCCGAGGGGCUCUCUUAUAAAACCCACAAAGCAGCUUUUGUAUGACACUUUUGGAUGAUAAUAGAGAAAACUCUGCUGAAAUGCAUUGUCAUUUUCUCCUUACCGAGAGUCACUCCAUGCUUUGCUUUCUCCUCUGCAACUUCCUUCCUUGUGUGAGGGCUUUCUGAGUUGUAGCCAUUCCAUUCAAAGCUUGCCUCCGUUCCCAAUCACAUCUGCAUUCACAAGCCUCUGUUGCCACCCUUCCAAACACUUCCAUCC